Felis catus (domestic cat) is the source of this 583-nucleotide long non-coding RNA. RefSeq lists it as uncharacterized. The record is from RefSeq and is a predicted model, not a curated record. NCBI's taxonomy places the organism in Eukaryota, Metazoa, Chordata, Mammalia, Carnivora, Felidae. The transcript has 2 exons.
GGCUCCAGGCUCUGAGCCAUCAGCCCAGAGCCCGACGCGGGGCUCGAAUUCACGGACCGCGAGAUCGUGACCUGAGCUGAAGUCGGCCGCCCAACCGACUGAGCCACCCAGGUGCCCCUAGUGACUACCAUUUGUUGAGUGCCCACCCCGCUUGGUCUGUUUGCACACAGUGCAACAACAAUCCAGCAAGGACCUACACCGCACCCCCCACCCCUUACACCUGCCUGAUCGCCCAGAUAAUGUCUGUCCUUCUUCGAAAGGCCAAGGAGUGAAUGAUGUCUCUGGAGUCUUCCAUGCAAUAAAUAACAUCUAAGGAGUAACCUGGCGAGGUCAUCACGAACAUUUUCCAAGACCACUGACUCGUCAAGACCCCUGGCUCCAGGGCACAAGUGACUUACAGAGGAUACCCAAACACUCCUCUUUGUUCCUGAAUUACUGAGAAGACAGGUGCAUGGGAUCACCAUCCUCAACAAAAAGCCCAGACCCCAAGCAAAGACAAGACUCACUCUCCUAUCUUUCAGAGUCUCCCUGACACUCUAUGUCUACACUUUCUCCAUAUCUUUAAUAAACUGCUCCCACUUCU